GACGAACGCUGGCGGCGUGCUUAACACAUGCAAGUCGAACGGUAAGGCCCUUCGGGGUACACGAGUGGCGAACGGGUGAGUAACACGUGGGUAAUCUGCCCUGCACUUCGGGAUAAGCCUGGGAAACUGGGUCUAAUACCGGAUAUUCAGCUUCUGCCGCAUGGUUGGUGGUUGGAAAGUUUUUCGGUGUAGGAUGAGCUCGCGGCCUAUCAGCUUGUUGGUGGGGUAAUGGCCUACCAAGGCGGCGACGGGUAGCCGGCCUGAGAGGGUGGACGGCCACAUUGGGACUGAGAUACGGCCCAG
Molecule: ribosomal RNA, 303 nt
Filed under: uncultured bacterium
Lineage: Bacteria
Description: bacterial SSU rRNA
Rfam family: Bacterial small subunit ribosomal RNA
Source: RNAcentral